GCCUCACUAGUUCAAUGGAAGAACGCCAGACUUCUAAUCUGGAGGCUGCGGGUUCAACCCCCGCGUGAGGUU
This 72-nucleotide transfer RNA is filed under the name Coemansia spiralis. It matches the Rfam family "tRNA". Rfam says of the family: Transfer RNA (tRNA) molecules are approximately 80 nucleotides in length. Their secondary structure includes four short double-helical elements and three loops (D, anti-codon, and T loops). Further hydrogen bonds mediate the characteristic L-shaped molecular structure. tRNAs have two regions of fundamental functional importance: the anti-codon, which is responsible for specific mRNA codon recognition, and the 3' end, to which the tRNAs corresponding amino acid is attached (by aminoacyl-tRNA synthetases). tRNAs cope with the degeneracy of the genetic code in two manners: having more than one tRNA (with a specific anti-codon) for a particular amino acid; and 'wobble' base-pairing, i.e. permitting non-standard base-pairing at the 3rd anti-codon position. The record is from Rfam by way of RNAcentral. Lineage: Eukaryota; Fungi; Kickxellomycota; Kickxellomycetes; Kickxellales; Kickxellaceae. RNAcentral also lists the same sequence under 7 other names.